UUGAACGCUGGCGGCGUGCUUAACACAUGCAAGUCGAGCGAGAAAGUUCUCUUCGGAGAAUGAGUAGAGCGGCGCACGGGUGAGUAACGCGUGGGUAAUCUGCCCUGAAGAUCGGGAUAACAGUUGGAAACGACUGCUAAUACCGGAUAUCCUGCAUAUUUAACUUAUGUGGAAAAGAUGGCCUCUGUUUCAAGCUAUUGCUUCAGGAUGAGCCCGCGUCUCAUUAGAUAGUUGGUGGGGUAAUGGCCUACCAGUCACGAUGAGUAGCUGGUCUGAGAGGAUCGAUCAGCCACACUGGGACUGAAACACGGCCCAGACUCCUACGGGAGCAGCAGUGGGGAAUAUUGCGCAAGUGGGGGAAACCCUGACGCAGCGACGCCGCGUGCGGG
This 389-nucleotide ribosomal RNA is filed under the name uncultured delta proteobacterium. RNAcentral describes it as "bacterial SSU rRNA". It matches the Rfam family "Bacterial small subunit ribosomal RNA", at positions 30 to 407 of the family's 1533-position model. Lineage: Bacteria; Deltaproteobacteria. The record is from RNAcentral.